Long non-coding RNA from Pteropus alecto (black flying fox), 2878 nucleotides. RefSeq lists it as uncharacterized. The transcript has 4 exons. Lineage: Eukaryota; Metazoa; Chordata; Mammalia; Chiroptera; Pteropodidae. The record is from RefSeq and is a predicted model, not a curated record.
CUGCGCGGUCAGCCGGCGGGACUGCGGCCCUGGCCCUGCCGCUUGGAAGAAGCCAGGUCUCGGGCAAGUCAUCGCCGUGAUCUGUGUGCGAGGUGUGCGGGACAACUCGCGUGGACCUGCGAUGAGCCGGAGCUGCCGUCCUGCCCGGGGUGGUCGUGAGAAGGAAGGGAAACCACUGCCAGGAGUCAGGGGCCCCCGCUGCAAACGCUGAUGUUCCAGCCCCUGGUCCGAGAGCCUGCGCAGCGCUGCGGGGGAAACGGGUGGCUGGUUAUGGGACAGCACCAGGUGCAAGGUUCUAUCUCUGUGACCUAACUGCAAUCCCUGCCUGGCCAGUUUCCGCUCCUGAGACCUCGGACAACUUCUUAACCUCCCUGGACCUCAGUUUCCUCAUCUGCUGAAUGGGGACAGCUUGGGCUCUGGAGCUGGACCUGGGUUCGAAUCCAGGUUUUAAACACAGUAUCUCCGAGACCGAGGACAAAGUACUCCCUCGCAGCUCUCUGUCUGUAAAGCAGGGAUGGAAAGCACUUCGCUGAUGGGGUUGUCGUGAAGCUUAAAUGAGUUAAUACAUGCAAACCACUUAGCUGAGUGGCGCGGAGGAAGCCCCCAGUAAGCGUGAGCCACCAUUACUCCGUGUUUCGUGUGUCCUGCACAGUUCUGUACACAUUUCAAUUCAUUAUCGAUAUUUAAAGUUGAGGAAUUUCCCGUAAAACCCUGGGGUAUCUGACCGCUCGAAAAAUGGGGCAAUGUGGUAACAAAAGGCCACACUUGCUCAGGGCUUGGUAAAAACUCUACCCCUUUGUAAUGAAACGAGUGCCUUCCUGGUGUGUAGAGGAAAACCUGAGGACCACAAGUAGAAAAUACCAGUCAAGUUACUCAGUAUAAAUUUCCAUAAUAAGAUAUUCGAUGAAAUAUGUUCAGCCGCGGAUACCAGAGUACCCAACUAACAGUGGCUUCUACGUAAGAACAUUCCAGAUAUGAUUUGACAAAGUAUUUAAGGAGCUGAAAACGUGUCUGCACAGAAACCCGCACAUGAAUGUUCAUAGCAGCUUUAUUCAUAACUGACAAAACUUGAAGCAACCACGAUGUCCUUCAGCGGGAUUAAGAAAACGCGGUGGGACCAAAUUCCCAGCCCAGCCCACAGUCCCGGCGUGGCUGUCGUCAUCCGGGAGUCUCAGCCCGUCCCAGCCUCACGCAGAGAAGGAAGAAGCGGAGAAAGCAGGGCUGCUGCACGCCCACCAGCGGGUGCCGAGCUCUGCCCUGCGAGGCGCUUUGCUGGAGCCAAGGACACUGAGCGACACGAGGCCCCGUCCCUGCUGGACCCUACGGGUCAGUUGGCGUCAGUAAACAGACCAGAACAUUGCCAACGCUGAAGGGACUAGGGCUCUCAAACACAGGGAGCUGAAGAGAGGCCUUUCAGGAGGUGACUUGAGCCGAACCCUCAGUGGCCGGAAGAGGUCAUGAUGGGCCGAGGAAGAGCAAGUAAGUGCAAAGGCUCAGAGGCACGAGGAGCUUGGCACGUUCACGGCACAGAACGGUCAGGGACUGUGGUGGGGACAAGGAGGGCAUGGUAGGGGCAUGAGUGAGGAAUCUGUGUUUUGGCUUCAGUGCACGUCAGUCAGCCCCACCCACUGAGAAACGUGGCUCAACAGACAGCGGUCUCCCCUCAAUCUCCCCAGUCCCCACCCCCAACCUGCGGAGGACCAAGCUCCCUGCGACGGCAGUGCCUGCCUGCGGUGGUUGACACCCUCACGCUGGGAUUCUCACUCGCGACCGAGGUGACUCCGCCAGGCAUGAGUUGAUUCGCACGGGCGGAUGGCUGGCUGCCAGGCCUUUCCUGAAAUUUCUUUGACAAAAGACUUUUUAAAAUUCCCUGAGAAUCUGGUCCUCGGCCUCCCAGGCCUCCCUUUAAAAAGUCUAGUCGCCAAAUUAGGCACAAAACUCAAGGGUCGCUGGGGCACGAAGCCCCAGACCACUUCUCUAUUCCGUAUGUCCCCUUUGCUGGCUUGUGCCUCUUUCCUCUCGUUUGUAAAAUGAAAUGUGUAGUGAGCUCUGGGUCUAGGGUCACCCUGAACAUAGUCUCCGUGUCAUCGUCUUCCUCAUCUCUUGGGUUUAAUCCAGCUGGGCGGGGGGCACAGUGACAAGGGUCGAAAGGUGCAAACAGCUCCCAAGUCUGACGUUCCCGCGCGGCCGCUGCUCGGGCCUCCCUCCGAACUUCCCUGCAAGCCCCUCAGGGCCGCACAGCUGCUGGUGAGUCCCCCACACGGCGGCCCCCACACUAUCUGCUGUUGAUGCAAGAAGCAUCCAAACAUGUAGAGAAUCUUUACGUGAGUUUAUUUCAGCCCAACUGAUGAUAUCUGCUUGGGAGCAAGACCUCAAAUGUUCCAGAGACCGUCCACCUUGCAGUGUCUUUUAUGCACUGGGAAUCCAGGCGGGAACGUGAGGAAGACGACGUGACGGUGGGAGAAAGCGAGGCCGGGACGGGAUCGCAAACCGGUGACGAUCGUGUGCCAUCUGUCACGCUUUGGAGGAGGGGUGAGAGGGGCGUUUCACAAGGGUGUCACCUGGGUGCACAGAGGCCGUGGACAGGCUUGUCUGAGGUGGAGACAAGCCUCCGAGCGAAGAAGUUUCGCCUGGGGUGUGACGACCCCCCCCAUGGCCUGCCCAGUUAGGGACUUGUGAUCAGAUCACCAUGGGGUCACUCUCCACAGAACCCCUCUUUUUCUCCAGACUGCAUUUCUUCCUUGGCCAGGUGGCUGUUCAGAUCUUUACCCAGUUUUAGUGGGGUUGUUUGUUUUAGACUCCUUUGUGCAGUUUGAGCAGAAAUCCUUUAUCAGAUACAUGUCGCGCAAAUAUUUUCUCCCAGUUUGUGGUUUUUCUU